Molecule: long non-coding RNA, 2278 nt
Organism: Callithrix jacchus (white-tufted-ear marmoset)
Lineage: Eukaryota; Metazoa; Chordata; Mammalia; Primates; Cebidae
Source: Ensembl
CCUCCUUUCCCCUGUCCACACCUCUUCAGGAUACAUUGUGUCUCUUUGAAAGCUGCUUACUGCAAGCUGGUGAUGACUGGUGUGAGGUGUAUAAGGCAGUUUCUAAUGAAUCCACCACGCCAGAGGGCCAGGCUGCUUUCUUCUCUGUUGACAAUCCUAAAUCCCCUUUCGAAUUGUAAAAUGUCAUUAAAAUAUGGGAACAUUGAACUCCCUCUCUACAGGUCCAACUGACACCUGGAAUUAAGGUCAGAGAGAUCAUGGGGCCCCUUUGUAUAAAGGUAAAAUGAUUUUUGAAGUGAAAUAAUGGAUUUAAAGCACUGAAGCAGAACACAGCUCCAUGUAAACCCCUAGUGACAUAUUUACAGAACCAGGUCUGGCUGGAAACAAAGUGAAAGAAACAGUAAUUCCAAUUGCAGCUAGCAAAAUAAAAAAAGCAGAUUGGAUGGAAACUGGCCAAGCUCUUACCGUUAAAAAUACCACAGCAUUGCUGCCAAAGGGUAUUGGGACAAAUUGCCAGAGGUAACUGUUACAUAAGCCAGAGCUCACCCUGCCAAUUAGUCAGAAACCAUUGCUACAUCUCUUUUGGCCACAGUUAUUCUGAUAGGUAACUUGCAAGCUGUUUAGCUGUUUAAAGGACUGUACCAGAAGAAAUCAGUUUUUCUGUGGGAAGGGAAAAAUACACAUCAAGGACAAGGCAGCUGUGGGUUUAGUUCCUCGGCGAAUGGUGAUUCUGCCCAUUGGUUGAUAUUGAGUAAGAAAGUAAGAGGAUCUCAGAGAACCCAGGCAGAUGACCUUUAAAAAUUGCUACAGCUUUCAGGGGAGCAAGGGUAACAAAAGCAAAGAAAUGUGCCUAGGCUUGCAAAAAGGAAGGAAGGAAAGAAAAGCCCAUGGAAUUUCCUCAUUUUCUUUAUUAAAAGAUGCUUAUCACCCUGAUUAGCUUUGAGCUUAGCAACAGUUCCCUGAGGUCUAUUCUCCAAAGGUAAAAAUGAAAGAAAAUGCAGUGGACAAUUAUCCAGGUAUUUCAGACAAAGCCUUUCCUUAAUCUUUCAGCAUGGAAAAUCAUGGCAUGUGGAUGGAGUUACCCAGAUGAGAGCAUCCUUCUGGGCAAGAAUUGUGGUGUUUGUCUAUUAUCACAGUGCCUACUGAGGAAGAAGAGCAGACGCACACCAGUACUGAUUGAAUUAAAUCUCCAAGCUCUUCUUCCAACUUCUUGAAAGCAAAACAGUCUUCUGUUAGCAAAAACCUGCAAGACUUUAUAAUUUUAGGACAUAAUUAAGUGAAUAGAGAAAAAAAGACAUCCGGAAGAUAAAAGCAUCACAACUACUUGAGGACUUUGUAACACUUGGAGUUUUGUUACUCUCUGUGGUUGUUGUUUGCAACUGGAGGAGAAAUUCUUAAUAGCUUCCAUGUAGAAAGAUUUAGGGAAUGGAAUUCUGAAGUCUUCAAUCAAGAGCAUGAUGGCUUAUAAACAGUUUGAUUUUAUGACCUUUACUCAAACAGAUUUUGUUUUUAAAGCAUUUUGGCAAAGCAUGUUCCACAAUAAGAAGGCAGAAAGAACAUUUAGAUAAGUGGAUAUUGGGGGCUUGGUUUCCAUUAAGAGGAAAUUCAGCACUUUUCCAAAUAAAAAGGGAUCCUGGACAUGAUGCAAGAAGGACAUUGUGAGAAAAGAUCCAGAUUUAGCAGUGAGGAUACAAACAUGAAAGCAAUUUCUUGCUGGAAAGACAUUUUAAAAUUCUGGGAUCUGCAGGCCAGAGCCUGCCAUUAGAAUUGGCAAAGAAAGAAGAAAAUAUUGAUUUUCAUUUUGGCUUUUGCCACAGUACUAUUGCUUUGUGAUGCUUGCCCAAAGUCUCUAAAUGAGAUACUUGGUGUGUUUUUUGAAGUUUCUGCAUGCUGAUGCUAGCACGGAAGACACAAUACACUCUUUUUCCUUUCUGUCUAAUGGAAACAGCUUUAGACACGAAGCUGUUAUGAACAUAUGUUGAAAAUAAAGUUUAUUUUCCAACAUAGGUGGUGACCCGAUAUUUAGGAAAAUCAAAGAGACAUAUAAAGACAAAGUAUGAGGUGCAAAAAAACAAGUAAGAGUGACAUUUUUUCUUUUCUUUUGUUCUUUUUGGAAUUCUAAGAAUUCUCUCGAGCAAAAUUUACACUUUUAAUAACAUGAGCUUUUUAUGUUAAGGAGGCCCUAUUUCAGGAGUGAAUAUAACAAGACACAGGAACUGUCUCCUAAAAAUGUCUCAUUUUAAUGCAGGCUUAGCUUUUAGUAAUCCAGUAAUCUCUU